This 326-nucleotide ribosomal RNA is filed under the name uncultured eukaryote. Its description in RNAcentral is "partial 18S ribosomal RNA". It matches the Rfam family "Eukaryotic small subunit ribosomal RNA", at positions 1470 to 1796 of the family's 1831-position model. The record is from RNAcentral.
CCCUUAGAUGUCCGGGGCUGCACGCGCGCUACACUGAAGGAAUCAGCGUGGCUUUCUCCCUGACCCGAAAGGGUUGGGAAACCCGUUGAAUCUCCUUCGUGAUAGGGAUUGGGGCUUGAAAUUGUUCCCCAUGAACGAGGAAUUCCCAGUAAGCGCGAGUCAUAAGCUCGCGUUGAUUACGUCCCUGCCCUUUGUACACACCGCCCGUCGCUACUACCGAUUGAGUGAUCCGGUGAAUAAUUCGGACUGCAGCAGUGUUCAGUUCCUGAACGUUGCAGCGGAAAGUUUAGUGAACCUUAUCACUUAGAGGAGGAGAAGUCGUAACA